GCCGGGGGCACACCAGAAGCUCUCGCAUCUCUUGGUCGCAGGUUCGAAUCCUGCCGGGGGCA
RNAcentral lists this transfer RNA (62 nucleotides) under Plantibacter auratus. RNAcentral describes it as "tRNA-Arg". The record is from RNAcentral. RNAcentral also lists the same sequence under 1 other name. Lineage: Bacteria; Bacillati; Actinomycetota; Actinomycetes; Micrococcales; Microbacteriaceae.